Molecule: ribosomal RNA, 253 nt
Filed under: uncultured bacterium
Lineage: Bacteria
Description: partial 16S ribosomal RNA
Rfam family: Bacterial small subunit ribosomal RNA
Source: RNAcentral
UACGUAGGUGGCAAGCGUUGUCCGGAUUUAUUGGGCGUAAAGCGCGCGUAGGCGGCUACUUAAGUCGGAUGUGAAAGCCCCUGGCUCAACUGGGGAAGUGCACCCGAAACUGAGUGGCUUGAGUACUAAAGAGGGUCGCGGAAUUCCCGGUGUAGAGGUGAAAUUCGUAGAUAUCGGGAGGAACACCGGUGGCGAAGGCGGCGACCUGGGUAGAUACUGACGCUGAGGCGCGAAAGCGUGGGGAGCAAACAGG